This 315-nucleotide unclassified non-coding RNA is filed under the name Hevea brasiliensis (rubber tree). The record is from RNAcentral. Lineage: Eukaryota; Viridiplantae; Streptophyta; Magnoliopsida; Malpighiales; Euphorbiaceae.
UGGAAUUUGACCACUAAAAUUGUUUGAUGAGAGAGAUAACUGACUAAGUUGCCUUAAAUUACAAAACAAUGUUACAUUUGAACCAGAAAAAUUGCAAGCUUGAAGAUCCAGCAUUCUCACAGACCUUAGAUUAUUGAUAAGAUCACCUUCUAAAUGUAUUGCAAUUUUUGUAUGAGAAAGAGACAGUCUCUCGAGGGAACAACUCCAAUUGGACCUUGGCAAACAACCAAUGAGGUCAUAAUUUCCCCAUAAAUCGAGCACACGAAGGUUUGGCCUUUGAAGCAAGUUGGCUGGGAAUUCCCCUCGCAAUCCACA